Molecule: ribosomal RNA, 164 nt
Filed under: Musa acuminata (dwarf banana)
Lineage: Eukaryota; Viridiplantae; Streptophyta; Magnoliopsida; Zingiberales; Musaceae
Also listed under: 27 other names
Description: 5.8S ribosomal RNA
Rfam family: 5.8S ribosomal RNA
About the family: 5.8S ribosomal RNA (5.8S rRNA) is a component of the large subunit of the eukaryotic ribosome. It is transcribed by RNA polymerase I as part of the 45S precursor that also contains 18S and 28S rRNA. Functionally, it is thought that 5.8S rRNA may be involved in ribosome translocation.
Source: RNAcentral
UGGACGACUCUCGGCAACGGAUAUCUCGGCUCUCGCAUCGAUGAAGAACGUAGCGAAAUGCGAUACCUGGUGUGAAUUGCAGAAUCCCGUGAACCAUCGAGUCUUUGAACGCAAGUUGCGCCCGAGGCCAUCCGGCUAAGGGCACGCCUGCCUGGGCGUCACGC